UGUGCACUUGGGGGGUUCCUCCGCCCGGAUUGCGAGGGGGUGCAGGCCAGGCUGAGGGACCCCACCAGAACACA
RNAcentral lists this microRNA precursor (74 nucleotides) under Myotis davidii. RNAcentral describes it as "mir-9193 microRNA precursor family". It matches the Rfam family "mir-9193 microRNA precursor family". The record is from Rfam by way of RNAcentral. Lineage: Eukaryota; Metazoa; Chordata; Mammalia; Chiroptera; Vespertilionidae.